GACGAACGCUGGCGGCGUGCUUAACACAUGCAAGUCGAACGAGAAUCUACUGAAAGAGUUUUCGGACAAUGGAUGUAGAGGAAAGUGGCGGACGGGUGAGUAACGCGUGAGGAACCUGCCUUGAAGAGGGGGACAACAGUUGGAAACGACUGCUAAUACCGCAUGAAGCAUAGGGGUCGCAUGAUUCUUAUGCCAAAGAUUUAUCGCUUCAAGAUGGCCUCGCGUCUGAUUAGCUAGUUGGCGGGGUAACGGCCCACCAAGGCGACGAUCAGUAGCCGGACUGAGAGGUUGAACGGCCACAUUGGGACUGAGAUACGGCCCAGACUCCUACGGGAGGCAGCAGUGGGGAAUAUUGGGCAAUGGGGGAAACCCUGACCCAGCAACGCCGCGUGAAGGAAGAAGGCUUUCGGGUUGUAAACUUCUUUUACCAGGGACGAAGAAAGUGACGGUACCUGGAGAAAAAGCCAACGGCUAACUACGUG
This 482-nucleotide ribosomal RNA is filed under the name uncultured bacterium. Its description in RNAcentral is "bacterial SSU rRNA". It matches the Rfam family "Bacterial small subunit ribosomal RNA", at positions 28 to 507 of the family's 1533-position model. The record is from RNAcentral.